UACGAAGGGAGCUAGCGUUGUUCGGAAUCACUGGGCGUAAAGCGCACGUAGGCGGACUUGUCAGUCAGGGGUGAAAUCCCGGGGCUCAACCUCGGAACUGCCUCUGAUACAGCAAGUCUUGAGUCCGGAAGAGGUGGGUGGAAUUCCUAGUGUAGAGGUAAAAUUCGUAGAUAUUAGGAAGAACACCGGUGGCGAAGGCGGCCCACUGGUCCGGUACUGACGCUGAGGUGCGAAAGCGUGGGGAGCAAACAGG
Molecule: ribosomal RNA, 253 nt
Filed under: uncultured bacterium
Lineage: Bacteria
Description: partial 16S ribosomal RNA
Rfam family: Bacterial small subunit ribosomal RNA
Source: RNAcentral